RNAcentral lists this ribosomal RNA (419 nucleotides) under uncultured bacterium. RNAcentral's name for it is "bacterial SSU rRNA". It matches the Rfam family "Bacterial small subunit ribosomal RNA", at positions 917 to 1338 of the family's 1533-position model. The record is from RNAcentral.
GGGCCCGCACAAGCGGUGGAGCAUGUGGUUUAAUUCGAUGAUACGCGAGGAACCUUACCAGGGCUUAAAUGUAGAGUGACAGGCUGAGAGAUCGGCUUUUCUUCGGACACUUUACAAGGUGCUGCAUGGUUGUCGUCAGCUCGUGCCGUGAGGUGUCAGGUUAAGUCCCGCAACGAGCGCAACCCCUAUUCUUAGUUACCAGCACAUAAUGGUGGGGACUCUAGGAAGACUGCCGGCGUAAGCCGCGAGGAAGGUGGGGAUGACGUCAAAUCAUCAUGGCCUUUAUGCCCAGGGCUACACACGUGCUACAAUGGAGGGUACAGAGGGUCGCGAAGCCGCGAGGUGGAGCCAAUCUCAUAAAGCCCUUCCCAGUUCGGAUUGGAGUCUGCAACUCGACUCCAUGAAGUUGGAAUCGCUAG